CCACCUUCAGGAUCUGAUGCAUAAGAAAUGGUCUCUCAGGAACCAUAUCCAUUCAAGUAGGCUGUAAAGGGGAAGAAAGAUAAAGAUAAAUGAUUAACAAUGUUGAUAGCAUGAAGCAAGACAUGGAAACUGAAGCAAAUGUGUCAUAGAUUGCAGAAAAGUAUUUCAACCAUGAAGAUGGGUACGAAAGCUAAUAUCACGCUUAUUAUUACACAGCUGAUUAAGUAUAAAUAAGUUAAGAUAUUCAUUGCUGUACAAUAUUAGCAUGUAGGCCUAGGAUAUGGUUCCAUUCUUAGUCCAUUUGGAGAAGCCCAUAUAGUUAUUAUCUGUGGCAUAUCUUGGUUUUCAGACCAUCUGCAUAUGCCCAUAUAGUUAAAAGGCCAAAUGGCACAAAAUACAAAUUCAGAUGAGGAGAUAUUAGCAAAUAAAUGCUUAGCAUUACAGAUAGUACAUAAGAAUCAAAUUUUUGCUACUGAAGUGCAUGUCCUUUUCUCUGAAAUUAACGGUCGGGUGGAACAUAUAUAUUCACCAAGUAUAUCCCCUCUUCUUAGGCCAAUACGGCACAAUGAGGUAUCAUCUGUUUCCUAAUUAAACUGUAACCUGAAAUCUGUGUGCAUACGUGCAUGGGCAUCCAUUUAUUCCUAAUAGGAAAAUAUGCCAAAACAUCAGUCACUUUCUCUUUUGAGCUGGAAAGAUCGUUCACUUGGAUGCAUGCAGACACCUCUAAUGUAAACAGAGGAACUAAACAAUCAGUCACUAUGAUUUUAUUAACUAUGUACAUAUACAUUCCAGUCAAGCGUCUUUUUAGAAAGUGACAUGCUUAGCUGUGAUUUUCUUAAAUAUGCGCCACCAAAUAUUGAAAGGUAGAAUAAUAUCAUCAUCCUUUUAGUUCCCAUCCAUAUGGAGGAGCAUAAAGAUAGCAAAAAUGUUAGUACUCUAUGCACACCUACUGUAACUCAUCCUUUUAGGUGUUUAGUAGGACCUACUUCAUAUGUGUCUCUCACUGUAGGUGGGCAAUACAUUCCCUUGACCAGGUUAGGAAUGUCCAAAAUAUUGUUUCCAAAAAUAAACAUGAGUUACAGUUUAGUAGGACCGAGAAGGAUUCAAGAUUAUAUAAGGAGCUAGGAUACACAUUCUUAUUAAAGUUAUUGGUUCAGAUCUAUGUAGCUUUCAGGGGCCUACCAAUCAAUCCAUAUGUCCAUCCCUACAAUAAUUUCAGGAGGGUACCACUCAAUCCAUUUGAGCAUCUCCUUUUUGCAUUAAUAGAAGAGGAGCUAGCAUACCUGCAGAUGGGCUGGUGACGGUGAGGUCGCCAACAAGUAGACCUAGCUGCAGAGGACACCGUCUCCCCCAUUCUGCUGGUGGGAAACCACCACGACACGAGCAUUCUUGCCGGAGAGGCACCCUCAAUCUCCGCUGAUGGCUACUUUCCCUGAUAGCUGAGGGAUCUGCCGGUGAGGUCCUGACAACUGUUCAAAAGGAGCAAAAAAGCAAGUGUUGAUCUAUUAUUUCCCUCAUAGAGCAUUGUAAGCACGAGCAGAUGUUCGCCAAGUGUGUGUUUUAAAAUACACUGUAAUUGCAAGCAAGUAACAACGGUGAUGUAUACUUGUACAUACUUCUUCUGUGAUCUGAACAACAAAGCGAGCAACACAUCCUUAAAAAAUCUCCACACCUCUUAAAUCAGUAGGGGGAAAGGGUGUAAGCACCUAGGCGCUAGGGCAGAACAAAACGCAUUGCUUAAGCCUGCGCUUAGGCAAGAUAUGCGCUAGUCAGUGGGAAAAUACAAAGUUAACAAUUAGAGGUUUUUCCCUGGUCCUAAAUAAAAGGACUCGAAAGCCAUGUAAAUUGUGUAAAGCAGAGCAAAGAAGUAGAAAAGCAGAACAUAACUUCAGAAAAAGAAACUGAAGUAAUGGACUAAGGUAUAUGUUUUAACCAAACACUAUCAUACUUUGGAAUAUUGUUCCUUAUUUCAAGUGUACAGAAGAACCAACAGCAGCAUGAAUCACUUGCCCAUAGCAUAAAGUUUCUGCAUCAUAGCAUCAAGAAGCUGUAUCAUAGCAUCAAGAAGCACUUUCUGUUUAGUAAACUGCAAUUUGGAAGGUUAAGUUGCUGCAUCAUAGUAUCAAGAAGCACUUUUUGUUGGGAUCUUAACUUUGUCCAUCACGACAGACUGAUUACACAAGAAAGACACUGUAAGCAAGUGUUGGAAGCUUCAUAGUGUAUGAUUUGAGACGUUUAUCCAUCUAUUAUUUUCCCGUGACAAAAAGAGUGUUGUUAAACAAUGGUAAUAGUAGAAUUUUGGAAGUCUGGCAAUUACAAUACAGUAAAUGCCUAUCCUGAAGUUAAAACUAAAUAAAACCAGGGUUUAUAAGUGAAUUUCACAGAUAAUUGUUCAUGUUGCUUGAAUCAUAAUUGAAUCGAUAAUAUGAUUUUCCAUGUCACAUUAUUAUGCUAACUGGGAUUGUAGUAGAAAAGGCAGGAUAACAGUACUAUACUCCACUCUUUUUCCUAUUGGGAAGAACCACCUCUCCUAUCCCAUUCUCUGAAUUUUCAUAUAGAUAACCUUCUAUUUUCUCUUUGUUCUUUCCAUUUUAUUUCAGUAGCUCCUUCAAUUCAUAUGAUUGGUUUUGUUUCAUCGAUGGACCCUAAGCGGUUACUGUAUGAACUUGCUAAAAUGUUGAGAAUGACGCAAUUACUACAUAUAAUUCAAUAGUAGUGCUUCUGCAUUAACGUACGUACCUAUGGUAUGGAUGACUGUUUACAAACCUGAGUCAUAAUCAACAGUGCUGUUAAACAAUGGUGAUAGUAACUUAAUGUGCAGUUCACAUGUACAAAUUUGAACUCCUAUGUUUUAGCUAGGAUAUGUGUGCUAGUUAGGAAAUCUUAAAGGAGAGCUGGUAAAUAUCAAGAGGCAUAUGCAUACAACCAUAGAUGAUAAUUGUUCUGACAAUAAGAGGGCUUUCAGGUUGUUGUAGUUGAACAGGAUUCAUGCAUAUACUAUCUUGCAGGCAGUAAGAAAAUAGGAGAUCAACAUGUAUUUCCAUGCAUCAACAGAUUAUUCACAUGUCGAUUAAGAAGCACACGCAACAAGGAUCGAUAGGUUGACUAAAGAAGAUUAGUUUGCGAAAACAUACUGUGUCGUCGCUCAAGGUUUACCUGAAGGUGAGUGAGGUGGCUUGAUCUGGUGAGAAUCCACAAGAGGAGCUGAAGUGCUGCCGUGAUGCAUAGAUGGGAGAGAGCGGAUCUUCCGGGCGAGGGAGCAUAUACCUAAGACAGAGCCAGAUCGUCGAGUGUUUUCCUUUUCUGAAGAUAAAAAACAACUGUAAGAUUUUUUAUGUAAACUUCCAUGUGCCUUUGGAAUAGCGAAGCAACACUACUGAACAUAAUAAUCAUGUUUCUCGGAAGAUAUUUUUAGGAAAGUAAUGAAAUUUACUCUUUUAACCAGUUUCUCACCUAGUGUAGAAGAGGCUGCGG
RNAcentral lists this long non-coding RNA (3474 nucleotides) under Triticum aestivum (bread wheat). RNAcentral's name for it is "long non-coding RNA (TAES_LNC001768)". Lineage: Eukaryota; Viridiplantae; Streptophyta; Magnoliopsida; Poales; Poaceae. The record is from RNAcentral.